AGUGAACGCUGGCGGUAGGCCUAACACAUGCAAGUCGAACGGCAGCACAGUAAGAGCUUGCUCUUACGGGUGGCGAGUGGCGGACGGGUGAGGAAUACAUCGGAAUCUACUUUUUCGUGGGGGAUAACGUAGGGAAACUUACGCUAAUACCGCAUACGACCUACGGGUGAAAGCAGGGGAUCUUCGGACCUUGCGCGAUUGAAUGAGCCGAUGUCGGAUUAGCUAGUUGGCGGGGUAAAGGCCCACCGAGGCGACGAUCCGUAGCUGGUCUGAGAGGAUGAUCAGCCACACUGGAACUGAGACACGGUCCAGACUCCUACGGGAGGCAGCAGUGGGGAAUAUUGGACAAUGGGCGCAAGCCUGAUCCAGCCACACCGCGUGGGUGAAGAAGGCCUUCGGGUUGUAAAGCCCUUUUGUUGGGAAAGAAAAGCAGCAGGUUAAUACCCCGCUGUUCUGACGGUACCCAAAGAAUAAGCACCGGCUAACUUCGUG
Molecule: ribosomal RNA, 492 nt
Filed under: uncultured bacterium
Lineage: Bacteria
Description: partial 16S ribosomal RNA
Rfam family: Bacterial small subunit ribosomal RNA
Source: RNAcentral